GAAACACCUAAUAUUGUUUUAUAGAACUCUAUUUUAUGCCAAGAAUAAUUCUAGGCUCUUGGGACAUAUCAGAGGACUAAAGAGACAAAACUCUCUGCCCUCCUGAGAUUUGUUUCUUUACAGUGAUGCGUUCAAAUCCUACCUUUGCCUCUGACUGGCCAUGAUACCUUGCAUAAGACAUUUAAACCUUUCCUGUCACAGUUUCCUUGUCUCUAAUGUGGAGGUUAUAAAAGAAAUUGCUUCCUUAAGGUCCGUUGAGAAUUAAUGACUUAUAUCAUAGAAAGGGACUGGAACAAUAUUUAGCACACAGGAAGAGCUGUAAACAUGUUGGUUAUUAUCAUUAUUGCCCGACAAAGCAUGUGAGUCACAAACUCGAAAUCAAAACCUCAAUCCCCUUGUGCAACUUGCCAUUGUUCGCUGAAGACAAGUUGGGGCUGGGAUCAUAGGAGUAACUGAGUCAUUCCAGCUCCUCCAAUCCUGAGCAGCUUUCACAUUUCAACACUAAUGUGAAAUGAAGUGGCACCUGCAUCAAAAAGUGAAGAGGCUUCCACCAGCUUGGGAAACAAUUUGAUUUUAAUGGUUUCCCACAAGUAACAAGACUUCAGCUAAACUCGUCCUGGGGACUAGAAGUGCUUAGUAAAGUCCCCACUUGAUUUCACCAUCCUUGGUCUUAGAUCCAGAACACUAAAUCUACAUAGCAGGGAAACUGAACGUACCUGCUUGGUUCUGCUUUUAUCACUUCACAGCCCACACUACUUCUGGUCCUACCCCCACUUUCAAAAGCAGAAUGUCACCAAAAGUCCUCCAAUCUCCCCAGGAAAAGGUUCCAGUUUUUGAGUCAGAAUUUGAACUGCUGUUGAGUUUAGAGACUGAGAAGCUCUAGAGGAUAUGGGAUCAGCCCAGAGUACUGACUUGAAAGGAAAUAGCUCUCUUCUUUAUAAUGUAAUCUAGCAAGGAGAAAAGGUCAAUUUACUUAGUGAGACGUUCUGGGAGGAAAAAUUACUUUUUAAGGAGUUCUGAGAUUUUUAAAACAGUUUCCUUAAAAAUUUUCCCUUCCUUCUGUUUCUGAUGGAUCUCUUAUAUUCUGGAUUUGGAGUAUAGUUGAAAUGUCUAGGCUUGAUUGUUGGGAGAAAGGCACUGUCACGUUAGAGUGUGUGAAACAUGGGUCUCUAAGAAGGUAUGAUUAGCUCCCACUUUCUCAGUCCUUGGCAACAUGGCCAAGAAGAAGAGGAAAGUGGAUUAAUCCUUUAAAAAGCAUAGAAGAAGAGGUUAGAAAAGUUAGAAAGGUCAAGUGUCUUGGAAACUUUGAGUGGGAAGUCCAUCAUUUUAUCUUUAGGACACAAGGUAAUGAUGGCGAUGAUGACAAUGGUCAUGAUGAUGAUGAUGAUGGUGAUGAUGAUGAUGUACUAUGAUCACAUAAAAGCCUUUCAUCUGCAGGCUCAAAGUGCAACACAACCACUAAUUAAUCCUGAAGGCAAGGUAGGCAAAUAUCAUUACCUCCAAUUUGCAAACUAGGAAUCCAGGCAGGAGGAAAUUAAACCCUUAACCAAGGUCAUCUCAGAGUGAAGACUAGAAAUGAAAUGAAGACUCCCUGCCUCCUUACUUUCCACUGGCCACCUCAAAGGUGGCUACCGAAGGGCUUGCUUUUAUUCCACAGGCAGAGCCAGCUCCUUGCUGCAUCUGACCCUUUUCUUUACAGAGUUCAGUGAGGGCAGGGGAGAGACCUUAUAGAAUGAUGUCUCCACUACAGACUGGUUUUGAGAACUGCCACAUCUCCAACCAUGGAAGCAGAAGUGUGGAAGGCUGAAGGAGUGAAGGGCCUGACGUGCUUCCCAUCUUUCUACCUCUGGCAGUCACUGCAGGGCUACAUGCUAAAGACAGCAAAGCUAAAGAACGUAUAUUCCUGUGUCCCCCACUUGGCAGGGAAUCACCAAGUAACAUCCACAUUAGACUUCAGGUCUACAGGUGUGGAUGAGAAACAUCUGGCCAGGAAACCAGGCUGCCAGAAUCCCCGGAGUAAGGGCACUCAGCCACGCCAUCAGGAAAGAGGAAGCUCCUCAGCAGUAUUCUGGCCAGCACUCAAAUUCUUCAAGUUUGCAAACCAGGGAACUGCUUCAUGCACCUGCCCUGCCAAGGGUCUUCACAAUGAGGAAGAUUACAUCUCUGAUUUCCUAA
Panthera uncia (snow leopard) is the source of this 2175-nucleotide long non-coding RNA. RefSeq lists it as uncharacterized. The transcript is spliced from 3 exons. The record is from RefSeq and is a predicted model, not a curated record. NCBI's taxonomy places the organism in Eukaryota, Metazoa, Chordata, Mammalia, Carnivora, Felidae.